AGGCUGGGACCAAAUAAAGAAAGAAAAGAAGAGGAAGAAGAAAUUGCAGAUCCAAAGGGCAGCAGGGAAGAGAAAGGAAGACAGGAGAAGAGAGAUGGUGUUGAACAGCUAUGUAGCGGUAAGAGUAGCAAACAUGUCGGCAUACGCGUGUCAAUACAUAGCUUGCAAUCCCGAGAGAUUGAGUAGCGACCAAGUUCUGUACCUCCUCUUCUGCUUCCCGUUCCUUCAACUCCGUCGCUUCCUCCUCAACUUCCGACGACGACCCUCCCCUUGAUUCCUUAUUGCAAACGCCUCUCAGGCCCAAACAGUCCCCAACUCUUAAAGAGCAAAGGCUACGAAAUAAUCCCACAUCGGAAACCUCUGUCUACAAGGACUUCUUUAUAUACAAUUGACUCCCAUCUAAGCUUGUCCCUUCGGGGACAUCCGAUAAAAUUGGAACGAUACAGAGAAGAUUAGCAUGGCCCCUGCGCAAGGAUGACACGCAUAAAUCGAGAAAUGGUCCAAAUUUUUUUGCAAUUUUUUGCAAUUUUUUGCUUGAUCUUCUGCUGUAUUAACUAUCACUAUAUGUCUGUAUUAAGUAACCUUUUCUUGCAAUUUUUGGCUUGAUCUUCUGCUGUAUAAACUAUCGGUGUGUUAAGAAUUUUUUUCUUGCUUCUAGCUUUGAGCCUGCAUUUGGUUCACUUUA
This is an RNA transcript of Fragaria vesca subsp. vesca, 685 nucleotides long. RefSeq lists it as uncharacterized. The record is from RefSeq and is a predicted model, not a curated record. The transcript is spliced from 2 exons. Lineage: Eukaryota; Viridiplantae; Streptophyta; Magnoliopsida; Rosales; Rosaceae.